GUGCAGCUGGUGCUAUACAUGCAGUCGAGCGGACCGACGGGAGCUUGCUCCCUUAGGUCAGCGGCGGACGGGUGAGUAACACGUGGGUAACCUGCCUGUAAGACUGGGAUAACUCCGGGAAACCGGGGCUAAUACCGGAUGCUUGAUUGAACCGCAUGGUUCAAUCAUAAAAGGUGGCUUUUAGCUACCACUUACAGAUGGACCCGCGGCGCAUUAGCUAGUUGGUGAGGUAACGGCUCACCAAGGCGACGAUGCGUAGCCGACCUGAGAGGGUGAUCGGCCACACUGGGACUGAGACACGGCCCAGACUCCUACGGGAGGCAGCAGUAGGGAAUCUUCCGCAAUGGACGAAAGUCUGACGGAGCAACGCCGCGUGAGUGAUGAAGGUUUUCGGAUCGUAAAACUCUGUUGUUAGGGAAGAACAAGUACCGUUCGAAUAGGGCGGUACCUUGACGGUACCUAACCAGAAAGCCACGGCUAACUACGUGCCAGCAGCCGCGGUAAUACGUAGGUGGCAAGCGUUGUCCGGAAUUAUUGGGCGUAAAGCGCGCGCAGGCGGUUUCUUAAGUCUGAUGUGAAAGCCCCCGGCUCAACCGGGGAGGGUCAUUGGAAACUGGGGAACUUGAGUGCAGAAGAGGAGAGUGGAAUUCCACGUGUAGCGGUGAAAUGCGUAGAGAUGUGGAGGAACACCAGUGGCGAAGGCGACUCUCUGGUCUGUAACUGACGCUGAGGCGCGAAAGCGUGGGGAGCGAACAGGAUUAGAUACCCUGGUAGUCCACGCCGUAAACGAUGAGUGCUAAGUGUUAGAGGGUUUCCGCCCUUUAGUGCUGCAGCAAACGCAUUAAGCACUCCGCCUGGGGAGUACGGUCGCAAGACUGAAACUCAAAGGAAUUGACGGGGGCCCGCACAAGCGGUGGAGCAUGUGGUUUAAUUCGAAGCAACGCGAAGAA
This 950-nucleotide ribosomal RNA is filed under the name Bacillus licheniformis. Its description in RNAcentral is "bacterial SSU rRNA". It matches the Rfam family "Bacterial small subunit ribosomal RNA", at positions 37 to 968 of the family's 1533-position model. The record is from RNAcentral. Lineage: Bacteria; Bacillati; Bacillota; Bacilli; Caryophanales; Bacillaceae.